UAGGGAAUCUUCGGCAAUGGACGGAAGUCUGACCGAGCAACGCCGCGUGAGUGAAGAAGGUUUUCGGAUCGUAAAGCUCUGUUGUAAGAGAAGAACGAGUGUGAGAGUGGAAAGUUCACACUGUGACGGUAUCUUACCAGAAAGGGACGGCUAACUACGUGCCAGCAGCCGCGGUAAUACGUAGGUCCCGAGCGUUGUCCGGAUCUAUUGGGCGUAAAGCGAGCGCAGGCGGUUAGAUAAGUCUGAAGUUAAAGGCUGUGGCUUAACCAUAGUAGGCUUUGGAAACUGUUUAACUUGAGUGCAAGAGGGGAGAGUGGAAUUCCAUGUGUAGCGGUGAAAUGCGUAGAUAUAUGGAGGAACACCGGUGGCGAAAGCGGCUCUCUGGCUUGUAACUGACGCUGAGGCUCGAAAGCGUGGGGAGCAAACAGGAUUAGAUACCCUGGUAGUCCACGCUGUAAACGAUGAGUGCUAGGUGUUAGACCCUUUCCGGGGUUUAGUGCCGUAGCUAACGCAUUAAGCACUCCGCCUGGGGAGUACGACCGCAAGGUUG
This 550-nucleotide ribosomal RNA is filed under the name uncultured bacterium. RNAcentral's name for it is "bacterial SSU rRNA". It matches the Rfam family "Bacterial small subunit ribosomal RNA", at positions 355 to 896 of the family's 1533-position model. The record is from RNAcentral.